Ictalurus punctatus (channel catfish) is the source of this 941-nucleotide long non-coding RNA. NCBI's taxonomy places the organism in Eukaryota, Metazoa, Chordata, Actinopteri, Siluriformes, Ictaluridae. The record is from Ensembl.
CUUAUGGUUUUGAAGUAACUAGCUAAUUAUCAAACACAUCUUAUAGUUUUGAAGUAACUAGCUAUCAUCAAAACAUCUUAUAGUUUUGAAGUAACUAGCUAAUUAUCAAACACAUCUUAUAGUUUUGAAGUAACUAGCUAAUCAUCAAAACAUCUUAUGGUUUUGAAGUAACUAGCUAUUAUCAAACACAUCUUAUAGUUUUGAAGUAACUAGCUAAUCAUCAAAACAUCUUAUGGUUUUGUAAUAACUAGCUAAUUAUCAAACACAUCUUAUAGUUUUGAAGUAACUAGCUAAUCAUCAAACAUCUUAUAGUUUUGAAGUAACUAGCUAAUUAUCAAACACAUCUUAUGGUUUUGGAAUAACUAGCUAAUUAUCAAACACAUCUUAUAGUUUUGAAGUAACUAGCUAAUUAUCAAAAACAUCUUAUGGUUUUGAAGUAACUAGCUAAUUAUCAAAACAUCUUAUGGUUUUGAAGUAACUAGCUAAUUAUCAAACACAUCUUAUAGUUUUGAAGUAACUAGCUAAUCAUCAAAACAUCUUAUAGUUUUGAAGUAACUAGCUAAUUAUCAAACACAUCUUAUGGUUUUGAAGUAACUAGCUAAUCAUCAAAAACAUCUUAUAGUUUUGAAGUAACUAGCUAAUUAUCAAACAUCUUAUAGUUUUGAAGUAACUAGCUAAUUAUCAAAACAUCUUAUGGUUUUGAAGUAACUAGCUAAUUAUCAAAACAUCUUAUGGUUUUGAAGUAACUAGCUAAUUAUCAAAACAUCUUAUGGUUUUGAAGUAACUAGCUAAUCAUCAAAAACAUCUUAUAGUUUUGAAGUAACUAGCUAAUUAUCAAAACAUCUUAUGGUUUUGAAGUAACUAGCUAAUUAUCAAAACAUCUUAUAGUUUUGAAGUAACUAGCUAUUUAUCAAAACAUCUUAUAGUUUUGAAGUAACUAG